Raphanus sativus (radish) is the source of this 1259-nucleotide long non-coding RNA. RefSeq lists it as uncharacterized. The record is from RefSeq and is a predicted model, not a curated record. NCBI's taxonomy places the organism in Eukaryota, Viridiplantae, Streptophyta, Magnoliopsida, Brassicales, Brassicaceae. The transcript is spliced from 3 exons.
UUCUCCUUUUUCCAUUGUCUGCUUGAAACUUCUAAACUCCAUCGCCUCUGACAUAAAAGAGGCCUAACGUUUUUCAUAUUGAUAGAAACGUUAUCAUUAAGAUUCACCUUUAACUCUCUCAGUGAAGCUCUCACACGGCAUCGAUUUAAGUUGCCUUUUCCCAGUUUCCAUCACUAAUCCCUAAUUUGUUCAAUUAUAAAUAAGGCUGCAGAAAACUCAGAAUCUCACUCUUCACCAGUUUCAAUCCUUCUGCUUCAAUACACAGACGGUAGUAGCGCGUCUUCUGUGUCUUUGGGAAGUAUGGAACAGUGAGAAAAGCAUGGGAACUGAUGAGAGUUGACAUGCUUCCGCUUGAUAAGAAGUUAUAAAGCUUUGAUACCAACAACAAUGGCCAACCUCUUCCUGAAAAGUUUCCUGAAAAUAUUUCUGCUUCGUUUUGAUUAUAGGACCAAACUCAUACACUUAAGCCUUCUUGGAAGAUUGGGAGCCAACAAAAGACUCAUUUUUGGGUAUAUAUGUUCUGUGGUAAGAGCCCUUGGUCUGAGUCUGUUAAAGAUUCUAUUGACUGAAACCGAGCUCCAUGGCAGAAGCUGUGUCGAUGUGGGAAUGGUCUGGCUCUGCGUUUGAUGAAGGAGAAGAGAAAAUGUUUUCAGAUUAUUUUGGACAAUGAAUCCCUUUUGUUCGGUUCAAUAAAGGUUUUGCUUCAAAAGUCUUGUCAUUUGCAACAGAUGAAUGCACAUAGUUAAUUAAGUUUUUCGGGAAUCCUUGCUAGACAAUCUUUUAAGAGAGUUGCCAGUGAUUAAUGUUUCUGCUGUAAAUUUGGAUUUGUGAGUAUGUAAUUUCCUAAAACUGGAAAGUAAAUUAUAUGGUGAACUAAAGAGAUGAGAACAGAUUCCAGCACUGUUGAAUGGAAAUGAUGUAAAUCGAGGCUACCUACUCGACCUGUUUUUAUUUUUUUGGUGUUGAACCUGGUGAGUUUAUGAGCACUCGCUGAGUUCCUCUACGUUUACGUUCUUUGGAGUUUUCAAGCGUGUCUCAUGCUCUAUGCACAGGAUUUUCCUUCAUCAUAUUACUGUUGAGUAUGUAUUGAUUCUGUCAAGUUUAACUUAAUUAGUCUUCUGAUGCUAUAGAUGUAGAUGUCGAUGAAGUUUUUGUGUUAGUGUUUCUUUGAUGUUAUGAGGCUUUUGGUAUUUUCCUGAGCGUUUAAUGUAACAUACGUUUCUCUGUGGUUACAUAAUUUCUUGGUUGCUGGACAGUCC